Long non-coding RNA from Humulus lupulus (European hop), 170 nucleotides. RefSeq lists it as uncharacterized. The transcript has 3 exons. The record is from RefSeq and is a predicted model, not a curated record. NCBI's taxonomy places the organism in Eukaryota, Viridiplantae, Streptophyta, Magnoliopsida, Rosales, Cannabaceae.
GCAAGAGAUAGAUUUACUGAAGAAUUUGAACCACAAAAAUAUUGUGAAAUAUCUUGGAUCCUUAAAGACUAAGAGUCACCUCCACAUAAUUCUUGAAUAUGUGGAAAAUGGCUCACUGGCAAACAUUAUCAAGCCAAAUAAAUUUGGACCCUUUCCAGAAUCACUGGUUG